Molecule: ribosomal RNA, 118 nt
Filed under: Pteropus alecto (black flying fox)
Lineage: Eukaryota; Metazoa; Chordata; Mammalia; Chiroptera; Pteropodidae
Source: RNAcentral
GGCUACGGCCACGCCACCCUGAACAAGCCCGAUCCCGUCUGAUCUCGGAAGCUAAGCAGGUCGGGCCUGGUUAGUCCUUGGAUGGGAGACCACCUAGGAAGACCAGGUGCUGUGGGCA